UUUAUGGAGAGUUUGAUCCUGGCUCAGGAUGAACGCUGGCGGCGUGCCUAAUACAUGCAAGUCGAGCGAACGGAUGAGAAGCUUGCUUCUCUGAUGUUAGCGGCGGACGGGUGAGUAACACGUGGAUAACCUACCUAUAAGACUGGGAUAACUUCGGGAAACCGGAGCUAAUACCGGAUAAUAUUUUGAACCGCAUGGUUCAAAAGUGAAAGACGGUCUUGCUGUCACUUAUAGAUGGAUCUGCGCUGCAUUAGCUAGUUGGUAAGG
This 267-nucleotide ribosomal RNA is filed under the name Staphylococcus aureus. RNAcentral describes it as "partial 16S ribosomal RNA". It matches the Rfam family "Bacterial small subunit ribosomal RNA", at positions 1 to 257 of the family's 1533-position model. Lineage: Bacteria; Bacillati; Bacillota; Bacilli; Caryophanales; Staphylococcaceae. The record is from RNAcentral.